UCUGUGCUCAUCCACACCCCCGUGUGUCCGGGGGCGGGGGGGGGCAGACUGAGUGACACGUCCCCAGAUUGAAUUAAGAGAAACCGACAAACAGCGUCCUCUGUUGUUGACCUGCUAAUUGGCGGCGGUGUUUUGGCCCGACCCCUGCGGCCUCUCUUUAUCUCGCCGCUGCAUUCCGUAAACACCGACAGCGCAGGUGGUGCGUCCGCACAGAGCAGCGUCUACGAGCCUUUGCUCCGGUUGCCAACGAGAUGGCAGACGUGAGCGCCAUCAAGCUCUCGACCUCAACAUCUGCCGUGUCAGCUUGUUAAUUAGCGGCAAACAUCUGUUAGCCUCGGUGCUAAAGGACUGGAGAGUGUGUGAGUGUGUGAGUGUGCAGAGAGAGAGCAGGGCUGGAGAUACGGCCGUAAAAAACCUGGAGUUGGAGACCACACGGCUGUCAGAAGUCAUUUCACAGGGUUUGUGAAAGCAUCGCAGCCACCGGGUGAAGGUGGACUAAACCUUGGACAGAGGCUACAAAUGAAGACAAACAACCGUCCACACUCCCUGUAAAACCUGGAGUGGAUUUAGACUCAAUUUAAAGUCACUUGUCACUUUGGACCUCGGUCUCCACUGACACUUGACAUUUACCAGUCGGUGAAAUACUGCACAGAGUGUUACAGCAGCAGCAGCAGCAGCGUAGAGGCAGGAAGUCAGGCGUCACACUCCUGCUGACAAGCCGUCCUGCAGACGCGGAGGAAACGAGGCCCCGGGAGGAGGCAGAUCUGAGAGUUAAUGAUCUUUCUCUAUGCAGAGGCCACGGUUCAGAAGGCACCGGGGCGAUGGGAAGAGGCAGAACCCCAUUAACUCAGUGACAAGGGAGAGUCGGUAACCAGUAAUACACUCUCUCUCUC
Cynoglossus semilaevis (tongue sole) is the source of this 893-nucleotide long non-coding RNA. RefSeq lists it as uncharacterized. The transcript is spliced from 3 exons. Lineage: Eukaryota; Metazoa; Chordata; Actinopteri; Pleuronectiformes; Cynoglossidae. The record is from RefSeq and is a predicted model, not a curated record.